This is a long non-coding RNA of Helianthus annuus (common sunflower), 405 nucleotides long. RefSeq lists it as uncharacterized. The transcript is spliced from 3 exons. The record is from RefSeq and is a predicted model, not a curated record. NCBI's taxonomy places the organism in Eukaryota, Viridiplantae, Streptophyta, Magnoliopsida, Asterales, Asteraceae.
ACCAGGGUAUUUUGAUAUAAUAUACAUAUAAAAAUAUUUAAAAAAUUUUCAUACGUAUCGCUGUUUAUAAAAUUUCCGCCCACUAUUUAUCGCUAUUCGCUAUGUGUCUUAUAGGUACCUUAUCGCUAUUUGUCGCUAUUCGCAAUUAACAACUAUGGGUGCCCUCGGAUGUUGGUGGAGUUGCUAGAGCACGAGCUUUUGCUAAAAAGUUAUCUGAUGCGCCAUUGACCAUUGUUGAUAAGCGGCGUCAUGGGCACAAUGUAGCUGAAGUAACGAAUUUGAACGGUGAUGUGAAAGGUAAAGUAGCAGUUAUGGUGGAUGACAUGAUCGAUACUGCUGGUACUAUUGCCAAAGGAGCAGACCUGUUGCAUCGUGAAGGGGAAGGGGCAUGGAAGUUUAUGCAUA